This 2404-nucleotide long non-coding RNA is filed under the name Marmota monax (woodchuck). Lineage: Eukaryota; Metazoa; Chordata; Mammalia; Rodentia; Sciuridae. The record is from RNAcentral.
CAGCGUUUGAUUAAUUGCUGAGGCUGACCUUGAACUUGAGAUCCUCCUCCCUCAACCUCAGGAGUCCCUGGGAUUAUAGGCAUAGAGUACCACACCCAUCUUAUAUUCCCUUUUUUAAUGCUCAUACAAUUCAGUAAAAUGUAUAUUACCACCUACAUUUUAAAGAUGAGGAAACUAAGGCUCAGAGAAGCCAGGUAAAUUACCAAUGGUCACAGAGACUGUUAGCAGGAAUAGAAACAGCCCUAGUCUGAUUGACUCUAAAUCCCAGAGUCUCCUCAGUAUGGUGCGCUGUCCAAUAUAAUCAUUCAGUAGUUCUAUUUACUGGGAAAGAUUUCCAAGUCCUUAUGGAGUAAAUACAUCAGCUAUUAAUGAGGUACUUUACCACUGAGCUACAUCCCCAGUCCUUUUCUUUUUGAGACAGGGUCUCAAUAAGUUGCUGAGGCUGGCCUUGAAUUAGUGAUAUCCUGCCUCAGCUUCCUAAGUCACUGAGAAUUAUAUCCUAGCUACAUCCUCAGCUCUUAUUAAUAAAUCUAAGUGGAAAACCUAAGCUCUUGCGGGGGUGACCAGUUUAGAUCUCCAAGUAUCUUUCUUUCCUGGGCAGAAGAGUUAACAUGGAGAAGGAAUUAACAAAUGCACAAAGCUGGGAUGCUGCUUAGUAGUAAUGUGUUUGCCUAGCAUGGUCAAGGCCCUGAGUUCCAUCUCCAGCACAGCAAAAAACAAAAAGUGCACACAGCUCAAAUAUAUUGUCCAAAUCUCAGGUGCCAUCAGUUCUGCAUGAGAAAGAAUUAGUUCAACCAUACUACAAAUUUUCAGGGUGCAGUUAAUGAAAUGGUUAGUGGAAAUUAUAAUUUACUUAAAUAUCAAAACAAAGCAUGUUAAAUUUAAUGAUCAAAAAUAUAUAUAAUGAUCAAAUGAAACUUUAUGGCAUUUGAAAAAGCCAGAACCCAGGAUAAGAUAUGCCAAAGGGACCAAAGAAUUAUGGAUUCUCAGCCCACUCAUAGGAGAGAAAAGGAUGGCAAAAAUGUAAAUAUAGCCAGAAAGUUCCAGGCAUCUAAUAUUCCCGUUUGACUUACUCUAGUGCAGGCAAAAAAGAAAGCUCAUAGUUUUCUCCAGUGUGAAUGAAUUUGCACCUAUUAAGAAUCUAUCCUAGCCAGGCACAGUGGUAUACACCUAUAAUCCCAGCAGCUGGGAAGGCUGAGGCAGGCACAUAGCAAGUUCAAAGCCAGCCUCAGCAACUUAGUGAGGCCCUAAGCAACUUAACAUAGACCCUGUCUCAAAAUAAAAUGUAAAAAAAGGCUAUUGAUGUGGCUCAGUGGUUAAGCACACCCAGGUUCAAUCUCCAGUACAAAAAAAAAUAAAAAUAAAAAUAAAUCUAUCCUAGAUUGUCUAGCAUGUGUGACAUCCUGGAUUUAAUCUCAGCACCAUAAAAGGUAACUAAUCUAACGUGGAGCAGCAGGUGUAGCACUUCAUACAUGCUUGGCAUAUAUGAAGCCCCUGAAGUCAACCCCCAGAACCAAAAGAAAAGACUUCCAAAUCACUCCUUCUGGCUGAUUCCAUCCCUUCUUCUCUCUGUCUGUCUCCGUCUCUCUCUCUCUCACACACACACACACACACUUUAAAACCAUAAUGCUCUUAUCCCCGUUUUACUUUACACUAGUUCUCUUUCUUUUGCUACCCCAGGACAGUAUAUAUCCUAUGAUUCCCAGUAGUUAGGUUCUCCCUCUCUAACCUAAAUCCAUCCUUUUCCAACCCUUCAAGAGAAUCUGACCCCAUGGAAAGGUUCUAAGAUUCCAUAAAAAUACACCCCAACCCCUAAGGCAUCUGCUACUUCCUUCCCCAUACCACCAAUGGUAAAAUAACAACAAAAAACACCUUCUCUCCUCACUGCUGAGGUCAUUCACUUCAACCCAUUUCCCUAAAUACUAUUUCUAAUGCCUCAUGUAGAGACCUGAAAAUGAUGGGAAAGCAAACACCCCAGGCAUACCAGCAGGGGACCGGCUCCUAUGGCAAAACCAGGAUAUCAAAAGACAAUUGCUUAAUACCCAAUCUUUCUGAAUUAUUACCCUGAAUUUCCCAGGGGAAAAGAGUCCCAUAUGCUUUCUCAGGUCCUCUAAUGCCUGGUUGUAGAGCCAGUUCACAGGCUGGAGCCCUUGUCAUCACCACCAUUUCCUUAACUUUUUUCUUCUUCCACUUAUAAGUUAGUGAGUGCAGUCAGGCUGCUGUGUUGUCCUGGGCACUGAACUGCCAACCUCUUGGUGUUACUGUCCUGUCCACUGCACUGGUCUGUGUAGCAGCUCCCUGUUCAGUGUCACUCAUAAGAACCAUUACCACUUACCCUCCCUCCUGGGUCACCACUGGAACAUGGAGCAGAGAACCAAGUCCACCUGCUUCUAUAGCCAAGUCC